Molecule: ribosomal RNA, 525 nt
Filed under: uncultured haloarchaeon
Lineage: Archaea; Methanobacteriati; Methanobacteriota; Halobacteria; Halobacteriales; Halobacteriaceae
Description: bacterial SSU rRNA
Rfam family: Archaeal small subunit ribosomal RNA
Source: RNAcentral
AUUCCGGUUGAUCCUGCCGGAGGCCAUUGCUAUCGGAGUCCGAUUUAGCCAUGCUAGUCGUGCGAGUUCAGACUCGCGGCACCGAGCUCAGUAACACGUGGCCAAACUACCCUACAGAGACGGAUACCCUCGGGAAACUGAGGUUAACCCGUCAUACCGAUCUCAGGCUUGAAUCGCAGAGAUCACAAAACGCCCCGGCGCUGUAGGAUGUGGCUGCGGUUGAUUAGGUAGACGGUGGGGUAACGGCCCACCGUGCCCAUAAUCAGUACAGGUUGUGAGAGCAAGAACCUGGAGGCGGAAUCUGAGACAAGAUUCCGGGCCCUACGGGGCGCAGCAGGCGCGAAACCUUUACACUGCACGCACGUGCGAUAAGGGGACUCCGAGUGCGAGGGCAUAUCGUCCUCGCUUUCGUGUACCGUAGGGUGGUACACCAACAAGGGCUGGGCAAGACCGGUGCCAGCCGCCGCGGUAAUACCGGCAGCCCGAGUGAUGGCCGAUCUUAUUGGGCCUAAAGCGUCCGUAGCU